Micropterus dolomieu (smallmouth bass) is the source of this 866-nucleotide long non-coding RNA. RefSeq lists it as uncharacterized. NCBI's taxonomy places the organism in Eukaryota, Metazoa, Chordata, Actinopteri, Centrarchiformes, Centrarchidae. The transcript is spliced from 6 exons. The record is from RefSeq and is a predicted model, not a curated record.
AUCACACUACCUUGUUUCUUACGACCCGCCCUUCUCUGCUUCUGAUUGAGUGAAACUUUGGAUGUAAAGGAGGAUGUUUCUCAUAAACUGAGCUCUGCAUUGCUGCGAGCCGAUUCUUAGAGCUGCAGCAGCCUGAGGCGGACAUCAGUAUACCGAGGAAUGACUGAGUAAACAAAAGGAUGCUAUUGAUUUGCCAUGCACACACUCAUCUUGUGACAACCAUGCAUAAGUAGCUUUAAUGUCAAGAACAGGCAUGACUGGAGCUUUGAUCACAGAUCUCACCACUCUCUCCAUCCUAAACCAGACUUCACGUCAGGUUACUGUACACACUCCUGAGUGCUUCAUUGGAGAUAUUGCAUCUAUAUCAGGAAAUCAGAAAAAGUUGAUUUUUUAAUUUGUGGUUCACAAGUAAAAACAUUGUUAGCUCAGUUGAACAGAGGGGGCGGUGCCAGUUUGCAGACUCCCAAUGAUGUCAGAGGUGAGAAGAAACUUUAUGGUAAUUCAGGUCUGAGGCUUUCUUAAAGAGACUGACGAGACGUUUGCUAAGUCUGUCUGGGAGUUGUGUUGGGGUUCAGGACUGCUGGGUGUGGAUCAGGGUUCAGAGAGAAGAGACACACAACCAAAUCCAGGAUGACGACUCUGAACCUGGUGCUGCUGGUGUUGGCAUUUAUAUCUGCCACUGCGACAAAGCCGAGAAGUAAGUUCACAAGUUACCGCUCAUGGAACUCAAAAAUGUAUCCGGUGUGGAGAGAUGGAGACUGGAGAUUCAGGAACUCUUGGCUUGGUGGUGAAGUAACUUUCGAUCUCAAAAAUGAUGCACCCACUCUGACUGGAGCAAGAGUGACCUUCUCUAUUAAUCUUAAUUU